AUACGUAGGGGGCGAGCGUUGUCCGGAAUGAUUGGGCGUAAAGGGCGCGUAGGCGGUCUGAUAAGUCAGAUGUGAAAGGCUAUGGCUUAACCAUAGUAAGCAUUUGAAACUGUCAGACUUGAGUUAAGGAGAGGAAAGUGGAAUUCCUAGUGUAGCGGUGAAAUGCGUAGAUAUUAGGAGGAAUACCAGUGGCGAAGGCGACUUUCUGGACUUAUACUGACGCUGAGGAACGAAAGCGUGGGGAGCAAACAGGAUUAGAUACCCUGGUAGUCCACGCUGUAAACGAUGAAUACUAGGUGUGGGGGGACUGACCCCCUCCGUGCCGCAGUUAACACAAUAAGUAUUCCACCUGGGGAGUACGAUCGCAAGAUUGAAACUCAAAUGAAUUGACGGGG
RNAcentral lists this ribosomal RNA (395 nucleotides) under uncultured bacterium. RNAcentral describes it as "partial 16S ribosomal RNA". It matches the Rfam family "Bacterial small subunit ribosomal RNA", at positions 523 to 918 of the family's 1533-position model. The record is from RNAcentral.